AUUAAACGCUGGCGGCAUGCCUUACACAUGCAAGUCGAACGGCAGCACGGGGUGGUAACACUCUGGUGGCGAGUGGCGGACGGGUGAGUAAAGCAUCGGAACGUGCCCUGGAAUGGGGGAUAACGUAGCGAAAGUUACGCUAAUACCGCAUAUUCUGUGAGCAGGAAAGCAGGGGAUCGCAAGACCUUGCGUUCGAGGAGCGGCCGAUGUCGGAUUAGCUAGUUGGUGGGGUAAAAGGCCUACCAAGGCGACGAUCCGUAGCGGGUCUGAGAGGAUGAUCCGCCACACUGGGACUGAGACACGGCCCAGACUCCUAC
RNAcentral lists this ribosomal RNA (317 nucleotides) under uncultured bacterium. RNAcentral describes it as "bacterial SSU rRNA". It matches the Rfam family "Bacterial small subunit ribosomal RNA", at positions 30 to 342 of the family's 1533-position model. The record is from RNAcentral.